AGAGUUUGAUCCUGGCUCAGGAUGAACGCUGGCGGCGUGCCUAAUACAUGCAAGUCGAGCGAACGGACGAGAAGCUUGCUUCUCUGAUGUUAGCGGCGGACGGGUGAGUAACACGUGGAUAACCUACCUAUAAGACUGGGAUAACUUCGGGAAACCGGAGCUAAUACCGGAUGAUAUUUUGAACCGCAUGGUUCAAAAGUGAAAGACGGUCUUGCUGCCACUUAUAGAUGGAUCCGCGCUGCAUUAGCUAGUUGGUAAGGUAACGGCUUACCAAGGCAACGAUGCAUAGCCGACCUGAGAGGGUGAUCGGCCACACUGGAACUGAGACACGGUCCAGACUCCUACGGGAGGCAGCAGUAGGGAAUCUUCCGCAAUGGGCGAAAGCCUGACGGAGCAACGCCGCGUGAGUGAUGAAGGUCUUCGGAUCGUAAAACUCUGUUAUUAGGGAAGAACAUAUGUGUAAGUAACUGUGCACAUCUUGACGGUACCUAAUCAGAAAGCCACGGCUAACUACGUGCCAGCAGCCGCGGUAAUACGUAGGUGGCAAGCGUUAUCCGGAAUUAUUGGGCGUAAAGCGCGCGUAGGCGGUUUUUUAAGUCUGAUGUGAAAGCCCACGGCUCAACCGUGGAGGGUCAUUGGAAACUGGAAAACUUGAGUGCAGAAGAGGAAAGUGGAAUUCCAUGUGUAGCGGUGAAAUGCGCAGAGAUAUGGAGGAACACCAGUGGCGAAGGCGACUUUCUGGUCUGUAACUGACGCUGAUGUGCGAAAGCGUGGGGAUCAAACAGGAUUAGAUACCCUGGUAGUCCACGCCGUAAACGAUGAGUGCUAAGUGUUAGGGGGUUUCCGCCCCUUAGUGCUGCAGCUAACGCAUUAAGCACUCCGCCUGGGGAGUACGACCGCAAGGUUGAAACUCAAAGGAAUUGACGGGGACCCGCACAAGCGGUGGAGCAUGUGGUUUAAUUCGAAGCAACGCGAAGAACCUUACCAAAUCUUGACAUCCUUUGACAACUCUAGAGAUAGAGCCUUCCCCUUCGGGGGACAAAGUGACAGGUGGUGCAUGGUUGUCGUCAGCUCGUGUCGUGAGAUGUUGGGUUAAGUCCCGCAACGAGCGCAACCCUUAAGCUUAGUUGCCAUCAUUAAGUUGGGCACUCUAAGUUGACUGCCGGUGACAAACCGGAGGAAGGUGGGGAUGACGUCAAAUCAUCAUGCCCCUUAUGAUUUGGGCUACACACGUGCUACAAUGGACAAUACAAAGGGCAGCGAAACCGCGAGGUCAAGCAAAUCCCAUAAAGUUGUUCUCAGUUCGGAUUGUAGUCUGCAACUCGACUACAUGAAGCUGGAAUCGCUAGUAAUCGUAGAUCAGCAUGCUACGGUGAAUACGUUCCCGGGUCUUGUACACACCGCCCGUCACACCACGAGAGUUUGUAACACCCGAAGCCGGUGGAGUAACCUUUUAGGAGCUAGCCGUCGAAGGUGGGACAAAUGAUUGGGGUGAAGUCGUAACAAGGUAGCCGUAUCGGAAGGUGCGGCUGGAUCACCU
RNAcentral lists this ribosomal RNA (1540 nucleotides) under Staphylococcus aureus. RNAcentral's name for it is "16S ribosomal RNA". It matches the Rfam family "Bacterial small subunit ribosomal RNA". The record is from RNAcentral. Lineage: Bacteria; Bacillati; Bacillota; Bacilli; Caryophanales; Staphylococcaceae.